UCAUGAUGUAAGCGGAACACGGUUGGAAAGCCGGACCGUAGGAGGUGAGAGUCCUGUAGGGCGUAAAGUUAUGAUAGGAUGUAUGAAAUCCCGAGUAGCAUCGGACACGAGGAAUCCGGUGUGAAUCAGCGUGGACCAUAUCACGUAAGGCUAAAUACUUCUGCCGACCGAUAGAGGAGAGUACCGUGAGGGAAAGGUGAAAAGAACCCUGAGCAAGGGAGUGAAAAAGAAUUUGAAACCGUGUGCCUACAAACGGUAGGAGCCCUUAGGGGUGACUGCGU
RNAcentral lists this ribosomal RNA (281 nucleotides) under Chaetoceros curvisetus. Its description in RNAcentral is "partial Bacterial large subunit ribosomal RNA". It matches the Rfam family "Bacterial large subunit ribosomal RNA", at positions 322 to 602 of the family's 2925-position model. The record is from RNAcentral. Lineage: Eukaryota; Bacillariophyta; Thalassiosirophyceae; Chaetocerotales; Chaetocerotaceae.